This 105-nucleotide small nuclear RNA is filed under the name Sus scrofa (pig). RNAcentral also lists the same sequence under 1 other name. The record is from RNAcentral. Lineage: Eukaryota; Metazoa; Chordata; Mammalia; Artiodactyla; Suidae.
GGAUGCGGCAGCACAUAUUAAAAAAAAAAAAUUGGAAAGAUACAAAGAUUAGCACGGCCCCUGCGCAAGGAUGACAUGCAGAUUCAAGAAGUGUUCCAUGUUUAA